This 1549-nucleotide long non-coding RNA is filed under the name Aquilegia coerulea. RNAcentral describes it as "long non-coding RNA (ACOE_LNC000246)". Lineage: Eukaryota; Viridiplantae; Streptophyta; Magnoliopsida; Ranunculales; Ranunculaceae. The record is from RNAcentral.
GUCACUCUCUUGAUGAUGACUUCAUCGUUUCUACUUUGGUUUAUAGCUUUGUUGAGCUUUGCACUGUAUGAAAAUGGCAAAUAUCUCAAGGAUGAAAAUAAUCUGUCAAGAUGUAAGGACAGAAAUAUUUCUUCUUUCAAGGGUUUCUUCGAUCUAACUUCCACUUGCUAGCUUUUAGUCUUUCUUCCUUUCUAAUAAACUACUCUAGCUAGCUUAUUUAAUCAUGGUGAGAAAAAACACAAAUUUCACAGGUAAAAUUAAUCAAAAUCUCUCUCAUGUUCAUGUAGCACAUUGGAUCUGAUGAUCAACUAUACUACAUUUUUAAUUGUUGAUUGUUGAAUGUUAAAUGUUUUUUUUUUGACGUUAUACCGCCACCAUUUUAUACUCUAAAACUGAUCUACAAUAUUGUUGGCCUUAGCUUCUUAAAUUUGUUUAAAUAUUGUAAGUUAGUUGUAUAAGUAUAACUACAUUUUGUGAUCGAUCUUAUUCAGUUAAUCUGAAACUAUAUACAGUAUGCAUUUUCAAAACAACCAAUAUCUACUACUACUACUGCUUAGCUAAUUCGUGUUCGCAAAAUAAGCUUUUUAAGAUUAAUGUUGUGGAAAACUCAUUGAGGAUUUGGAAGUAUCACCAAUCAUUUCAAGGCAGGGACACAGGGAUAGACUAUAUGUAUCUAAUAAUGUGAAGGUGCCAAGCAAGAUAUUGAUUCACUAUAAAUAUGAUUAAGGUAUAUAUAUUAUAUAGGCAGGCAGGGAGAUAAUAUGAUUCGAGCAUUACUAGUACUCUACAUAAAAAAUUUUAAGCCAAAGGGAUAACAUAUAUAUAUUUACUGUAUCAAUUUGUGGGAGUGGAGACUGAUAGAUCCUUUAAUUGUAUUUUAGACUAUCUCUACUCACAAUAUAUCAAUUAAUAAGCUUGCUCUGUCUCAUAUCUUAAUAAAUAUGAAGCAUUUAAGUUAGGUCUUGUUAUGUUUCAUUUUGAUUUUUCACUCAUAUCUUAACAGGACCAAUCCCACCUUAUACCAUUUAUGCACCAGGCAGAGUUCCACCUCCAGGUCCCAAGGGGGAAUUCGUAGUAAGACGCUUUCAUCAUCAUCACAGCCACACGAGGGCGAUAGUUGCACUUGCAGUGAUGGGAUUCGCCGUUUUAGUUGUAUUCUUCCUCUUAUUACGACGUUUUGUGUAUAACCGCCAUGCCUCGUAGCUAGUACGUGCUUGUAUAAUGUUUGAUGAUUCUUGCUUCAACCUUGAAAGACGAUAGUGUUGUAGUAGUACUAGCAACUUUUGGACAAUUACAACUCUGUUAGCCAUGGUCUCUGUUGUUGUUUCUUGUUUGGUACUACAUCAACAAACAAUUGGUAGUUCAUAAUUAACUUGAUCUUUUGUUGUUGACUUGGUUGAAAUUUAGUGUGUUCUCCAUAUUAUACAAAAAGUUACUGCUUUAUUUCAGUAGAUCAAUGACUUGUAAAGAGAGUAGGGGCAAUGACUAUAUCAGCAACAUUAUAACAGUUUCUAAGUAUUCAUGAAUGAACUACUGGCUCCAGAAUCAG